CGAUGAACCUCCUUCGGGAGGGGAUUAGUGGCGAACGGGUGAGUAACACGUGGGCAAUCUGCCCUUCACUCUGGGACAAGCCCUGGAAACGGGGUCUAAUACCGGAUACGACCACCGACCGCAUGGUCUGGUGGUGGAAAGCUCCGGCGGUGAAGGAUGAGCCCGCGGCCUAUCAGCUUGUUGGUGGGGUGAUGGCCUACCAAGGCGACGACGGGUAGCCGGCCUGAGAGGGCGACCGGCCACACUGGGACUGAGACACGGCCCAGACUCCUACGGGAGGCAGCAGUGGGGAAUAUUGCACAAUGGGCGAAAGCCUGAUGCAGCGACGCCGCGUGAGGGAUGACGGCCUUCGGGUUGUAAACCUCUUUCAGCAGGGAAGAAGCGAAAGUGACGGUACCUGCAGAAGAAGCGCCGGCUAACUACGUGCCAGCAGCCGCGGUAAUACGUAGGGCGCAAGCGUUGUCCGGAAUUAUUGGGCGUAAAGAGCUCGUAGGCGGCUUGUCACGUCGGAUGUGAAAGCCCGGGGCUUAACCCCGGGUCUGCAUUCGAUACGGGCAGGCUAGAGUUCGGUAGGGGAGAUCGGAAUUCCUGGUGUAGCGGUGAAAUGCGCAGAUAUCAGGAGGAACACCGGUGGCGAAGGCGGAUCUCUGGGCCGAUACUGACGCUGAGGAGCGAAAGCGUGGGGAGCGAACAGGAUUAGAUACCCUGGUAGUCCACGCCGUAAACGUUGGGAACUAGGUGUGGGCGACAUUCCACGUCGUCCGUGCCGCAGCUAACGCAUUAAGUU
RNAcentral lists this ribosomal RNA (787 nucleotides) under Streptomyces nigrescens. RNAcentral's name for it is "bacterial SSU rRNA". It matches the Rfam family "Bacterial small subunit ribosomal RNA", at positions 67 to 866 of the family's 1533-position model. The record is from RNAcentral. Lineage: Bacteria; Bacillati; Actinomycetota; Actinomycetes; Kitasatosporales; Streptomycetaceae.